Molecule: long non-coding RNA, 1496 nt
Organism: Anolis carolinensis (green anole)
Lineage: Eukaryota; Metazoa; Chordata; Lepidosauria; Squamata; Anolidae
Exons: 2
Source: RefSeq, a predicted model, not a curated record
UCAGCACCACUAGCCCUGGGCAUCCCACGAGCAAGAGCCAUACGCAAGCGCCCCAUCCCUCUCUCCCCGUUGUUGUGCGGUAGUCCAAAGGCCACCCUGCAAGCGCCGUGGCUCUCCUCUACAAGAGAAAACAUUGGCCACCUGAAUGGCAAAUAUACAAUCCUUAUUAAUGCAGCUCUUCCAUGCUCAUGUCAUUUUCCACAUCCAUCUAGACGCAUACCAGGUUUCCUUGUUUUCAAUUACACUUUUUUUUUUACAAGUUGGUGACUGCCUUUCUCUGUCUGUAAAUUAGAAUGUUGAAGAUUUUCCAGCAAGUGUGAAAAGGAAAGGUCACACAUCUCUCUAUCAACUCUGAAAACCACCUUGAAUCUGCUUAAAAUAAAUUAAAUUAAUAUCUCAAUAAUAUUCAUUGGAAAAGACUUCCAAAAAUGAUAAAAUAAUUGGCCUAUGGGAAUCGACACAAAUUGUUAUGAUUGAGCCUCAUGGCUCUGUUACUGGCAGACGUGGGCGUAAGACUCCUCGAGAGUCAGAUACUCUCGAGGAGCGAGAAAGAAAGAGACUGCGAGAUAUCUUUGCAGCACCAUCUGACGAAGAGUCUUUUGAGGGGUUUACGGAGAGAAUGGAGGAGGGGCUGGUUAGCUCGGAGGAGGAUGAGAUGGAUUGGACUCGGGUGAGGGAGGAAUUGGGUGCCACUGGCAAUGAUGGGAUGGAAGAUGAAUGGGGACCUUCAGGAUUAGACCCAUGGACAAGCUGGAGGGAUGGGACGGGAUCCACAGCUGGGGAUGCUGUGGGGCGUAGUCAGAGGUGUUCCAGCUCUGAUGAGGAAAGUGAUGAGGAAACGCCCGGGUUAAGGAGGGCAGCUGAUAGUGAUGAGGAUUUGUAACUGGCAUAAAAUGAGGCUUGGGAGCAAUUGCAAAUUGCGUUGGGCAAGGUAAUCUGGACGAACGCUUGGGAUCUGUGUGGGACGCUUUCCUGAAGACUGGUGUGUUUUCGUGUGCUGAUACCUUUGACCUUCCGUCGUCUUCUUGACGGACGCCAUCUCCUGCUUUGGAUUUCGGACUGAACUGACCACGGCUUGACUUCCCCCUACUCGGACUUGGUGAAUCUACAAACGUCUGCUUCUGGCUUGAACUACGGAAAGGAACUGGGUCUACUCUACUGCUUCAAUCCUCGGCUGAUCUGUGUGUAUUGGAAAUCUUGCCUGCUGUGUGGAGGAGUGACUCAAGUUACUCAAAGCACAGUGCUGGCAGCAGAGAGGAAUCUGCUGCCAAUUAAUUGCAUUCUUUUGAACACUUUGUUCCCCGGCUUCUGUUUUGUUUAUCCCCAGGCUGAAGCAAGCUGUUUUGUUUUUACCCGGAUUAAACUCCGGUUUAAUCCGGUUUAUCUUUUGAACGUUUUUCCUUGCCCCUUUUUGCUUUUAAAGGCUAAUACUGCCUGGCCCUUGUAUUUUACGGGCAUUUUGAGUUCUGUUAUCCAAUAAACUCUGUUAUCUUUGA